Molecule: ribosomal RNA, 210 nt
Filed under: uncultured Pantoea sp.
Lineage: Bacteria; Pseudomonadati; Pseudomonadota; Gammaproteobacteria; Enterobacterales; Erwiniaceae
Description: partial 16S ribosomal RNA
Rfam family: Bacterial small subunit ribosomal RNA
Source: RNAcentral
GUGCCAGCCGCUGCGGUAAUACGGAGGGUGCAAGCGUUAAUCGGAAUUACUGGGCGUAAAGCGCACGCAGGCGGUCUGUCAAGUCGGAUGUGAAAUCCCCGGGCUCAACCUGGGAACUGCAUUCGAAACUGGCAGACUGGAGUCUUGUAGGAGGGGUAGAAUUCCAGGUGUAGCGGUGAAAUGCGUAGAGAUCUGGAGGAAUACCGGUGG